CUUAAAUUCUAAUUUACCCAAAGUUAGAACUUCAAAAUUAUAAAAUCCAAUAAUUUAAAUUAUCCAAUUAGGGGAAAAAUCCAAUUACUCAAUUUAAAUCUUAAAAUAAAACUAACUUGAGAACGCGGGGCGUUACGGUGUACAAGAGCGUAAUGCUUCUUCUUGGUAGCAAUUUUCUUUGUUGUGACUACCGAAGGAGAGUGAAGGAAUCUCUUUGAGCAGCUUGGAGUCCCGAGCAGCUUUUGAAGUUUUUUGGGCAAACAAUUGUGCAUUUUGGCUUUUCGAGGUAAUCCUGCUACUUUUUUAUUUUUUCUUUUCAGGAUGUCUGGUCUAGGAACAGAAUACUGCAACAUAGACGAUUAUGAAUACUUGGGCCCAUUGUACACUGAAUUAAGAGAUUUAGGUAUGCCUUCUGUAGAUUCUCCAUGCAUGGAGACAUUUCUAUUUCCUGCUUCACUUCUAAAUGAAUUUAUGACGGAGAAUGGUUUAGCUGAACGCUCUGCUGUGAAUUUUAAGGAUGUUAAUAGCAAUUGGAUUUAUAAUUUUGAUAGAAUGGUUAGCGAGCCUUUUGGUGGCGAGUCUUUAAAGGAAAGAGAGAUACCCAAAUUAGUAACUACUCAUAGAGGGGUGGAUCAUGUGAUUACAAAUAUAGUGCCCCUAUAUCUUGAUAUGGGUUGGUGUCGGGAUCACUGGGAAUCCCUUCACAUGUUGUACAGGAAGAUUUAGACUAUUACCUCUCUCGAUAUUGUAUUCCGAUGUCAAUUUCUAUGAGAAUUCCUAAACCGCAUGAACGUAUGACACAUCCUCCCGAGGGAGAGACAACCCUGUGCACAAAGAUGUUCGAGAAUGGGGUGUUAUUGCCUCUUCACCCAUUUAUCCAUCAUUUCUUGUGUGAACUCCAGGUAGAUCCAGCACAGUUACCACCUAAUAGUUGAAUCAUUCUACUUGGUAGUUUCAUUGCUUGGAGGUGAUUUUACGGAAGGGACGAACUUGAUAUUUUUAAUAUUUUGCAUAUAUUUACUUUAAAGGUGGCCCCAUCCAAGGAGAAUCUGUUUAUGUAUCUUUUUAGGAAGAAAGAGAAGAGCCACUCUGAUGAGAAAGAGGGUGAAGCUAGACUCGAUCAAAAGGCUUAGGGGGUGAGGUCGAGUCUAGUCAAAGGAUUGUAGAAUGGCGGGAGUCUCGAAGGGAGGGCUCUUCGGGAGCGUCCUUGCAUCGUUCUUAGCAAAUGGUUACCUAUCCUAACUCUAAUAAAGAUUGGAAAGAAUCCUAGUUUUUUGUGAGUGGAAAUUUGCUCGCGAGUGUGCUAGCAAUCAUAUGGUCCCUCCCAGGUUCGAGACGUCGGUUUCUGUUCGUGCCCCUCCUAAUCAUGGUGCCCUUUUUCUUAAGAGGUUGAUGUCUUUAGUAAGCAAGGUGGUUGACCUGCUCUUUGAAUCCAACCACACAAGAAAGGUUUGCCUCGAUUGACCUCUCCUUCACAUGAGCUAGACGAUGAUUAAAUCAACGAAGCAUAUGUUGUCGAUUCAGACAGUGAGAAACUUCUCUUUGUUUUGAGAGACCCACCAUUCUUCUGUCGCCUACCGUCCAACCACCUACUAGUCAAGCGGCAAUGAAUCCUCUUCACCGUCUUCACGCACAAAAGAGAAAAGCUAUUCAGGGAGGAUCUUCGAAUGUGGCUUCAGAGUCUCUCCAAAGACGUCGCUUGACAGAAGCAUCCACCUUGAUUGGAUCGUUGGAUCCAUCACCUACUAUAAUGGGUCCUCCAUCACUCGCUUCUACUCGAUUGAGGGGUGUCACUCCACUGAUCGGGUCUUCACUUGCCGGGGCUCCUCGUGGGGGAGGCUAAUGGAUCACCUAUUUUAAAAACUUGGUCUACGAAAAACAGAUUUUAGUUCGAGAGUCGGCUGAGCAUAAGGAAGGUGUUAGCACCCUAAAACACCCGUUUGAAAAUGGUACCAUAUUUAUAGAAUUUAAUUUGAAGCACGUAAAGACUCGAACUUGGGUUACAAAUAUUAAUACACAAGAGCUUUACCAAUGUGCCAA
Non-coding RNA from Momordica charantia (bitter melon), 2040 nucleotides. The record is from RefSeq and is a predicted model, not a curated record. Lineage: Eukaryota; Viridiplantae; Streptophyta; Magnoliopsida; Cucurbitales; Cucurbitaceae.